GUGGACGCCAGUCUGCGUGGAGCCGACCUUGAAAUACCACCCUUUAAUGUUUGAUGUUCUAACGUGGACCCGUAAUCCGGGUUGCGGACAGUGUCUGGUGGGUAGUUUGACUGGGGCGGUCUCCUCCUAAAGAGUAACGGAGGAGCACGAAGGUUGGCUAAUCCUGGUCGGACAUCAGGAGGUUAGUGCAAUGGCAUAAGCCAGCUUGACUGCGAGCGUGACGGCGCGAGCAGGUGCGAAAGCAGGUCAUAGUGAUCCGGUGGUUCUGAAUGGAAGGGCCAUCGCUCAACGGAUAAAAGGUACUCCGGGGAUAACAGGCUGAUACCGCCCAAGAGUUCAUAUCGACGGCGGUGUUUGGCACCUCGAUGUCGGCUCAUCACAUCCUGGGGCUGAAGUAGGUCCCAAGGGUAUGGCUGUUCGCCAUUUAAAGUGGUACGCGAGCUGGGUUUAGAACGUCGUGAGACAGUUCGGUCCCUAUCUGCCGUGGGCGCUGGAGAACUGAGGGGGGCUGCUCCUAGUACGAGAGGACCGGAGUGGACGCAUCACUGGUGUUCGGGUUGUCAUGCCAAUGGCACUGCCCGGUAGCUAAAUGCGGAAGAGAUAAGUGCUGAAAGCAUCUAAGCACGAAACUUGCCCCGAGAUGAGUUCUCCCUGAGACUUUAGGUCUCCUGAAGGAACGUUGAAGACGACGACGUUGAUAGGCCGGGUGUGUAAGCGCAGCGAUGCGUUGAGCUAACCGGUACUAAUGAACCGUGAGGCUUAACCUU
This 767-nucleotide ribosomal RNA is filed under the name Salmonella enterica subsp. enterica serovar Muenchen. RNAcentral describes it as "partial 23S ribosomal RNA". It matches the Rfam family "Bacterial large subunit ribosomal RNA", at positions 2164 to 2925 of the family's 2925-position model. RNAcentral also lists the same sequence under 3 other names. Lineage: Bacteria; Pseudomonadati; Pseudomonadota; Gammaproteobacteria; Enterobacterales; Enterobacteriaceae. The record is from RNAcentral.